UUUCCAUGGAAAGGAGACUUUCUCUCAAAGAAGGACCGCUCUUAAGACUUGGAAGUUCAUGAAAUUUACAAGGCGCAGAUAUUCAGGGACCUUAUCCUUUUCAGAAAGUCCAGAUUGAUGCAUGGGCCAUAAGGCUCUUCCCAAGCUUAUAACAGCAGUAACAAUGGCUGGAGUGGGAAGCCUCUCUGGAGCAGCUGCCUGCAAGCUGGGCAGUGGCCACUAAGGAGGCAGCUUUCCAGAGACUGGGUUUUUCAGUCAUGCAGCUGUUUUGGGGUCUCCUAUGCUUCUAUAAGGAAAAGCCACAGAAUACUAGCGAAUGGCUCGAGGUUAGACACAUGUGGGGUGGAUCGGCUGUGUCCCAUGCACCUCCUCCCGGUAGGACCCACUCUUGGAUAGCUGACACCCACCAAAGCCCUUCAUGGCUGUGUACAAAGCUUCGGCAUCCUGAUUUGGAUCAAAGUCUGGGAAGUCAUGGACGGAGCCUCGGUACAUGGCACUCUGUGGAGAAAAAAGCAGAGGGUGAGUUCCGACCUUGGACCUGGACCCAGGGUAGACUGUUAGCUCUGGUUCAGGCUGAGCUCUGUUCCCCAGAGAAGAGCAAGCACUGAGGUCACCUGGGAAGGGCGUGGCUGACUCUUCAGAACCACCAGAAGCAGCCAGCCCAAAGGACAGUGUCAUUCCUCCAAGGGAGGCGGCUUGGCCAAGCCUCACCACCCUUCACCACCUGGCACUACUAGGACAGGUUAAAAAGCCUGGCUGAGUAGCAGGCUGGAAAUGACCCCCGUGAGUGACAAGAGCCCCACCUGCGGUAUAUGUGUGUAUCUGGAGGUCAGAGGUCAACCAUAGGUGUUGUUUCUCAGGUGUCCUCUAUCUUUUUGUUUGUUUUGAGAUAGGGUCUCACUAUGUGGUCCUGUUUGACCUGGGACUGCUAUGUAGACUAUGCUGACUUUGAAUUCACAGAGAUCCCCCUGCCUCUGCCUCCUAAGUGCUAGGAUUAAAAGCAUGCAUCAUCA
This is a long non-coding RNA of Mesocricetus auratus (golden hamster), 1013 nucleotides long. RefSeq lists it as uncharacterized. The record is from RefSeq and is a predicted model, not a curated record. The transcript is spliced from 2 exons. NCBI's taxonomy places the organism in Eukaryota, Metazoa, Chordata, Mammalia, Rodentia, Cricetidae.